GAUGAACGCUGGCGGCGUGCUUAACACAUGCAAGUCGAACGGAAAGGCCCAAGCUUGCUUGGGUACUCGAGUGGCGAACGGGUGAGUAACACGUGGGUGAUCUGCCCUGCACUUCGGGAUAAGCCUGGGAAACUGGGUCUAAUACCGGAUAGGACCACAUUUUGGAUGGUGUGGUGGAAAGUUUUUCGGUGUGGGAUGAGCUCGCGGCCUAUCAGCUUGUUGGUGGGGUAAUGGCCUACCAAGGCGUCGACGAGUAGCCGGCCUGAGAGGGUGUACGGCCACAUUGGGACUGAGAUACGGCCCAGACUCCUACGGGAGGCAGCAGUGGGGAAUAUUGCACAAUGGGCGCAAGCCUGAUGCAGCGACGCCGCGUGGGGGAUGACGGCCUUCGGGUUGUAAACUCCUUUCGCUAGGGACGAAGCGUUUUUGUGACGGUACCUGGAGAAGAAGCACCGGCUAACUACGUG
Molecule: ribosomal RNA, 467 nt
Filed under: uncultured bacterium
Lineage: Bacteria
Description: partial 16S ribosomal RNA
Rfam family: Bacterial small subunit ribosomal RNA
Source: RNAcentral